Molecule: ribosomal RNA, 492 nt
Filed under: uncultured bacterium
Lineage: Bacteria
Description: partial 16S ribosomal RNA
Rfam family: Bacterial small subunit ribosomal RNA
Source: RNAcentral
AGUGAACGCUGGCGGUAGGCCUAACACAUGCAAGUCGAACGGCAGCACAGUAAGAGCUUGCUCUUACGGGUGGCGAGUGGCGGACGGGUGAGGAAUACAUCGGAAUCUACUUUUUCGCGGGGGAUAACGUAGGGAAACUUACGCUAAUACCGCAUACGACCUACGGGUGAAAGCAGGGGAUCUUCGGACCUUGCGCGAUUGAAUGAGCCGAUGUCGGAUUAGCUAGUUGGCGGGGUAAAGGCCCACCAAGGCGACGAUCCGUAGCUGGUCUGAGAGGAUGAUCAGCCACACUGGAACUGAGACACGGUCCAGACUCCUACGGGAGGCAGCAGUGGGGAAUAUUGGACAAUGGGCGCAAGCCUGAUCCAGCCAUACCGCGUGGGUGAAGAAGGCCUUCGGGUUGUAAAGCCCUUUUAUUGGGAAAGAAAAGCAGCAGGUUAAUACCCCGCUGUUCUGACGGUACCCAAAGAAUAAGCACCGGCUAACUUCGUG